This is a long non-coding RNA of Brassica napus (rape), 3286 nucleotides long. RefSeq lists it as uncharacterized. NCBI's taxonomy places the organism in Eukaryota, Viridiplantae, Streptophyta, Magnoliopsida, Brassicales, Brassicaceae. The record is from RefSeq and is a predicted model, not a curated record. The transcript is spliced from 2 exons.
UUUUUUUCUUCUUAAAUGUCCGUAGCUAUGCUAUUACAAUUAUGAAAAAUAUUAAGUACGAUUUUACUGCCUACAAGUCUGUUACUUUAUUUUACAGUUGACAAUUCUAUUACUUUAUAAGAAUUCAUGUUUGACUAUGCUACUUCAAAAUAGUCUUAUGCAAUCCAUGUUCGAUACACCUUGUACUAUAUUGAAUAUUUCAUGUAACAUUUUUUUCUAUAAUCAGCAUAAUUUGCAUUUUUGGAGGCUUUUUUUUUUGAACGACAUUUUUGGAGGCUUGAUUUUCAGAUUUCAUGGUGUAGAAGCAUUAAUGAACCAUUAGUCAAAUCAUUGGAUUAAGGGAGCUUCCAAACGUGAUGUGGAUAAAUUCAUGGAGGUCAAAAGAGCUCAUUUCUAGACAUUUAAAGUCAGAAUUUGAAAAUUCACUUAUUUGACUAUUUCUAAAUGAAACAAUAUUUUUGUUAAAUUCAAAUGAACAUUUCAGAUUUUUUCCGAAUGAUUUUUUCAAUACUACUAAACAUGCAAUACCUAUAAGCAUUUUCAUAUUUAUUGUUUGUGUAGUUUGGUUCUUUUAUUAUGUUUAUACAUUUUACGGUUAGUAUUGUAUCAGAAAUUUAUUAGUAAGACAUAUGGCGUUGUAUUAGUUUUUUUUUCUCUCUUUUUUUACAAAAAAUGAAAGGGUGUGAAUUUACGAACAAAUUCUCAUAAAAUUAAGAAUAUAGCAUUGAUUUUGACAUAAUUAAAUCCAUAACAAUUUUGACAGUUUUUAUCUUUUAUUACCCAUUUUAUUUUCAAGUUUCCAGUGAGAGAGAGAGAAAAUAAUAUCGUCGACGAUUAAGAAGAUCUAUGGAUCGAACAAGAUAAAAGUUACAGUAUUGAAAGUUAAAUCAUGCAUAUAAAAUGACAACACUUAACUAAUUACCACAUACCGAAGUUCUAUUUCUUAAACAGAAGAUGGAAGAACAACGAUGCAGGCGACAAACAAUGAUGAAGACAAAAUAAGCAGGCGACAAACAAUGAUGAAGACAAAAUAAAAAGUUUAUUUUUCAUGUAGAAUACAUAGUAUAGAUUCUCUACAAAUAGAUGUUCUAUUUCAUUUACAUACAUAAGUAAUAAAGUUGAACAUUAUUUUUGUAAAGUUAAUUAAUAGAAACUCCAUAAAUAUUAUAAUCAUAAACCUUACCUCAAAUUCUAAUCUAAUUCAACUUUCUAAAUACCAAGUAAUAUUAACACGAAAAUAAAAGAACAGAAAAGAAAAGAAAGAAGAAAUGUAACUAGUAGAGAAGAAAGAGAAAAAAUAUAAUAUACAAAAAAUAUCAUUUUGACUUUUUGGCUAGUUUGUGAAUUUUUUUUUUGAACAACAAACUAGUUUGUGAAUUAUAACAAAGUUUUUGGUGGUUACUGGAUCCAAUUUACCGAAAUGAGAAAUCUACUUUCAGAAAAGAAAAGAAAAACUAAUCUUCUUUAUAUACAAAGGAAACCUUGAAUCACUCCUAGUGGAUCCAGCUCGGAUGCCACGUCGUCAAUUCAUGCAAGGAGAACGUGACACCUGUCCUCUCUCAUUCAACGCUGCUUUUCAUUAACUGUUUUACUUAAUAUUUUUGGACUUUGUGUGUUGGGCUUUACGAUUCUUUAUGCUGGUCGAACUAAAGCGACAAAACUCAUAUCGUCUUCCUUGGUUUCAGAAGAAGUUUAGGGUUCAUCCUCUUCUUCCCGUGAACUUCUUCAACUUCAGCAUCCCACUCUGGUCCAUCGAUUUUUUUUUGGUUUUUACAAUGGAACUAAACUUUGGAUUAAGGACCCUAUCAAUUUGGGUGAGGGUUGAUCCAGGGUUACCCGAACCAUAAAAUCUUCCAGAUCUCAAUCUCCGUUAUGGACCAAUUACCUAUCAUGACGAAGUCAGCAGAAUCUCAUCAUCAAAAGCCAAGGAGCAUCACAAAGUCAUCAGCUAGCUUCCGAGUCACAGUCUGCUGCGACAGAUCUCGAUCAGCUGCAAUCGACGUGUUCAUCCUAAUCGCCCUUAUUAUAACUUAUGAGUUCUUGAUCAUUCCUUAAAAUAAAUUCAUCACCGUUAAAGCCGUUUUUAACAAUUCCGCUGCGGGAUGAUUUCACUAGAAUGGAUUGGUACGGAAACAAAAUUUUAAGUUUUGUGUUCUUCCUUUUUCCCUCUUUCCCUCUGUUUUAUGUGUUCUCUACAGCCGUUUGUGUUGUGGUAAAGGGCUCGGCGGAAAGUGUUUAUAUGAGAAGAAAUGCUGCAUAUCAAGCUAUCAAGAGAUAAAACAAUGUACUGUUAGUGGACGAGACUGUAGCUCACCGUCAACGUCCCCCGUCUCACCACUUACCUCUGCUGAUUCGGUUUAGUGAUUCAACCGAAUUUGAAGAGACGAGUGAGCUACUUGGACUGGCUAACACGAACACUCACUUUCCUAUUGUAGAAGACAUGAUUUGGUUUAAAAGCUGGUGUAGAAGAAAAUUUAGGAUGAGUAGUUAACUCCUGUGUUACAGCCUUUUGUUUUUCUUUUUCAAGUUGCAACCAAAGCAGCUACCAAAGCCUUGGAUAUAUGCAAAACUGCGAAAGCCAGAGAUAUAUGUCAUCUUCCGGUAACUGAAUAGCUCAAAAAGUGUGAAUCUUUACGUUGUGAAGGUGAGUCCUAUGGGGUCUGAACAAUUUGAAUUUCAGGUGGAGAUUGAGGUGUUUGAUUCUCAGAUAACGUAGAAAAUAGAGAAUGUGAUUUUAGGAGCUCUUAUAUGGUGGAUGUGCUCUAUUAAUCCUUUCUCCUUUUUGCUAUUUUCCUUGGUCUUUUUGAGCUGAAAGAAAACCAGUAGUACUAAGAUCUUACCUCAAAUCAAGCUAUCAAAUUCUCCAAUGCCUCUACUAAAAAACUUUGGAUUAUGCUCGCAUAUAUCAAGUUCCUCGAGUUUAAACCAUCUGUGAAUUUCAGGUGCUGCACUUCUCUUUGCUUCUCAUUUGUGUCCUCUACAGUUUCCAUUUUCAGUAGCUGAAUCUGCCAAUACACAUUUACAAGAUGAGCUAAUGGGUUUUACAAAGCAACACACGAGAGAGAUAGCAUUAAACGUGAUCAAGCUGCGAAGGAAACAAUAAAAGCAUCACAAUCACACCUUCUUCACCUUAAGAAGACAAUAAUAGACGUUUUCUUUUUGCCAUCAUCAUUCCCUUUUGUCCGGAUACAAAGAUGUUUGGUGGGACAAAAAUACUUUGUAUCACCUAAUAAUAUAUGUUGUAUAAUGUAUACACUGUUAUAAAAAGAACUGGAAUUUUAUUGUA